RNAcentral lists this ribosomal RNA (282 nucleotides) under uncultured prokaryote. RNAcentral describes it as "partial 16S ribosomal RNA". It matches the Rfam family "Bacterial small subunit ribosomal RNA", at positions 524 to 803 of the family's 1533-position model. The record is from RNAcentral.
UACGUAGGUGGCGAGCGUUGUCCGGAAUUACUGGGCGUAAAGAGCACGUAGGCGGGAACCUAAGUCAGGUGUGAAAGACCGUGGCUCAACCACGGGGUGGCAUUUGAAACUGGGUUUCUUGAGGGCAGGAGAGGAAAGCAGAAUUCCUGGUGUAGCGGUGAAAUGCGUAGAAAUCAGGAGGAAUACCAGUGGCGAAGGCGGCUUUCUGGACUGACCCUGACGCUGAGGUGCGAAAGCGUGGGGAGCAAACAGGAUUAGAUACCCCCGUAGUCCCUGAGCGGG